RNAcentral lists this ribosomal RNA (330 nucleotides) under uncultured eukaryote. RNAcentral's name for it is "partial 18S ribosomal RNA". It matches the Rfam family "Eukaryotic small subunit ribosomal RNA", at positions 1470 to 1796 of the family's 1831-position model. The record is from RNAcentral.
CCCUUAGAUGUUCUGGGCCGCACGCGCGCUACACUGAUGAAUUCAACGAGUUUCUUCCUUGACCGGUAGGUCUGGGUAAUCUUGUAAACGUUCAUCGUGAUGGGGCUAGAUUAUUGCAAUUAUUAAUCUUCAACGAGGAAUUCCUAGUAAACGCAAGUCAUCAGCUUGCAUUGAUUACGUCAAUGCCCUUUGUACACACCGCCCGUCGCACCUACCGAUUGAAUGGUCCGAUGAAAUCCUCGGACCGUGGAGCGAUCUGUGCUCGUCACCGAACGCAUCCGCGGGAAGUUGAUUAAGUCAUACCAUUUAGAGGAAGGUGAAGUCGUANCA